UACGGAGGGUGCGAGCGUUAAUCGGAAUUACUGGGCGUAAAGCGCACGUAGGCGGUUGGGUAAGUCGGAUGUGAAAGCCCUGGGCUUAACCUGGGAACUGCAUUCGAUACUGCCCGGCUAGAGUAUGGGAGAGGGAAGCGGAAUUUCCGGUGUAGCGGUGAAAUGCGUAGAUAUCGGAAGGAACACCAAUGGCGAAGGCAACUUCCUGGCCCAAUACUGACGCUCAGGUGCGAAAGCGUGGGGAUCAAACAGG
This 253-nucleotide ribosomal RNA is filed under the name uncultured bacterium. RNAcentral's name for it is "partial 16S ribosomal RNA". It matches the Rfam family "Bacterial small subunit ribosomal RNA", at positions 524 to 776 of the family's 1533-position model. The record is from RNAcentral.